RNAcentral lists this ribosomal RNA (300 nucleotides) under uncultured bacterium. RNAcentral's name for it is "bacterial SSU rRNA". It matches the Rfam family "Bacterial small subunit ribosomal RNA", at positions 496 to 795 of the family's 1533-position model. The record is from RNAcentral.
GCAGAUGCGCGGCCGACAGGGUGUGUAAUAUGUAGGGGGCGAUCGUUAUCCGGAAUCACUGGGGUUAAAGGGUUCGUAGGCGGUUUGAUAAGUAAGAGGGGAAAGGCUACGGCUUAACUGUGGGAUUGCCUUUGAUACUGUUGGACUGGAAUUGAGUUGAAGUUAGUGGAAUGCGGCAUGUAGCGGUGAAAUGCAUAGAUAUGUCGUAGAACACCGAUUGCGAAGGCAGCUAACUGGGCUUAAAUUGACGCUGAGGCACGAAAGCGUGGGGAUCGAACAGGAUUAGAUACCCGAGUAGUC